This 500-nucleotide ribosomal RNA is filed under the name uncultured bacterium. RNAcentral's name for it is "partial 16S ribosomal RNA". It matches the Rfam family "Bacterial small subunit ribosomal RNA", at positions 29 to 523 of the family's 1533-position model. The record is from RNAcentral.
AUUGAACGCUGGCGGCAUGCCUUACACAUGCAAGUCGAACGGCAGCACGGGAGCAAUCCUGGUGGCGAGUGGCGAACGGGUGAGUAAAGUAUCGGAACGUGCCCAGUCGUGGGGGAUAACGUAGCGAAAGUUACGCUAAUACCGCAUACGAUCUAUGGAUGAAAGCGGGGGAUCGCAAGACCUCGCGCGGUUGGAGCGGCCGAUAUCAGAUUAGGUGGUUGGGGGGGUAAAGGCUCACCAAGCCGACGAUCUGUAGCUGGUCUGAGAGGACGACCAGCCACACUGGGACUGAGACACGGCCCAGACUCCUACGGGAGGCAGCAGUGGGGAAUUUUGGACAAUGGGCGAAAGCCUGAUCCAGCCAUGCCGCGUGCAGGAUGAAGGCCUUCGGGUUGUAAACUGCUUUUGUACGGAACGAAAAGGUUUGGCCUAAUAAGCUGAGCUCAUGACGGUACCGUAAGAAUAAGCACAGGCUAACUACGUGCCAGCAGCCGCGGUAA